This 292-nucleotide ribosomal RNA is filed under the name uncultured bacterium. Its description in RNAcentral is "partial 16S ribosomal RNA". The record is from RNAcentral.
GGACUACUGGGGUAUCUAAUCCUGUUUGCUCCCCACGCUUUCGCGUCUCAGCGUCAGUACCGUCCCAGCGAGCUGCCUUCGCCAUUGGUGUUCCUCCUGAUAUCUGCGCAUUUCACCGCUACACCAGGAAUUCCACUCGCCUCUUCCGGACUCUAGUUCGACAGUAUCCACCGGCAUUCCAGGGUUGAGCCCUGGACUUUCACAGCAGACUUACCAAACCGCCUACACGCGCUUUACGCCCAAUGAUUCCGGACAACGCUUGCCCCCUACGUAUUACCGCGGCGGCUGGCAC